This 996-nucleotide ribosomal RNA is filed under the name uncultured bacterium. RNAcentral's name for it is "bacterial SSU rRNA". It matches the Rfam family "Bacterial small subunit ribosomal RNA", at positions 505 to 1501 of the family's 1533-position model. The record is from RNAcentral.
GUCCCAGCCGCCGCGGUAAUACGGAGGGUGCAAGCGUUAAUCGGAAUUACUGGGCGUAAAGCGCGCGUAGGUGGUUCAGUCAGUCAGAUGUGAAAGCCCCGGGCUCAACCUGGGAAUUGCACCUGAUACUGCUGAGCUAGAGUACGGUAGAGGGUAGUGGAAUUUCCGGUGUAGCGGUGAAAUGCGUAGAGAUCGGAAGGAACACCAGUGGCGAAGGCGACUACCUGGACCGAUACUGACACUGAGGUGCGAAAGCGUGGGUAGCAAACAGGAUUAGAUACCCUGGUAGUCCACGCCGUAAACGAUGUCAACUAGCCGUUGGGGGACUUGAUCCUUUAGUGGCGCAGCUAACGCGAUAAGUUGACCGCCUGGGGAGUACGGCCGCAAGGUUAAAACUCAAAUGAAUUGACGGGGGCCCGCACAAGCGGUGGAGCAUGUGGUUUAAUUCGAAGCAACGCGAAGAACCUUACCUACUCUUGACAUCCAGAGAACUUUCCAGAGAUGGAUUGGUGCCUUCGGGAACUCUGAGACAGGUGCUGCAUGGCUGUCGUCAGCUCGUGUUGUGAAAUGUUGGGUUAAGUCCCGUAACGAGCGCAACCCCUAUCCUUAUUUGCCAGCACUUCGGGUGGGAACUCUAAGGAGACUGCCGGUGACAAACCGGAGGAAGGUGGGGAUGACGUCAAGUCAUCAUGGCCCUUACGAGUAGGGCUACACACGUGCUACAAUGGCCGGUACAGAGGGCUGCAAACUCGCGAGGGUAAGCUAAUCUCACAAAACCGGUCGUAGUCCGGAUUGGAGUCUGCAACUCGACUCCAUGAAGUCGGAAUCGCUAGUAAUCGUGAAUCAGAAUGUCACGGUGAAUACGUUCCCGGGCCUUGUACACACCGCCCGUCACACCAUGGGAGUGGGUUGCACCAGAAGUAGCUAGUCUAACCUUCGGGAGGACGGUUACCACGGUGUGAUUCAUGACUGGGGUGAAGUCGUAACAAGGUAACC